GGGCUCGUUGUCCAACGGCAAGAUACCCGCUUGGCUUGCGGGAGAUUCGGGUUCAAUUCCCGACGAGUCCA
Molecule: transfer RNA, 71 nt
Filed under: Candidatus Woesearchaeota archaeon
Lineage: Archaea; Nanobdellati; Candidatus Woesearchaeota
Description: tRNA-Ala
Rfam family: tRNA
About the family: Transfer RNA (tRNA) molecules are approximately 80 nucleotides in length. Their secondary structure includes four short double-helical elements and three loops (D, anti-codon, and T loops).
Source: RNAcentral